AUGGGGACAGGAAUGGGAACAGAAUGGGGACAAGAAUGGGGACACAGUGGGGAUAGGGACGGGGUUGAUGGGGUCACAGUGGUGAUGGGAGAUGUAUGGGGGCUGCCUCCUGCCCUCCCCCCUCCCUGUAUUUGUCUCUCUUCACCUUAUUUCCCCCCUCCCCCCUUCCACCCUCACCCCCAACUCUCCUCCUCACUUUCAUUUUCCUUUCCCAGCUGGGACAGCCAAUCUUGCACUGCCCUUCCCCUCACCCCACACCGUGUCAUCGUGUUGACACACACAAACACAAGGACUUUUUGUGGGCGGCGUUGGGUAAAGUUUAUUUCCUGCUGUCCAUUCCCCCCCCACCCCCAUUUUGCAGAUCCCCUUGCAGACACAGGGAUGGCUUCUCGCAGCGUGGAGAUCCAGCUCACCAACAGCACAAGGGAUGUGACCCUGCGUUCCCCCAGGACCUACUGCUUCAGUGGCUACAGCUCCGUGCCCCCAAGCCCCAUCAUCCCACCAGGAGCCACAGGAUGCUGUUCCUUCGCCAACUCCCCACAACAUUUUAGGGGCAGUGUGGGCAUCCUGGUGUACGAGGCAGAAACCUUCACCUUGGCCAUCCUCUUCUCCAACCCUUACAACUACAGCUUUUACUACAUGGAGUUUGCCGUGGAGAUCUCCCCAGAAAAAGCCCACCUUGGCUUACUGGAGGAUGUCUAUCAAAGGAUGUACAGAGGUUUGCCUGCAAAUCCCAACAACAGUGGCAUGCUCCAGAUUGUCAAGCUCCAUGCAACCCAGGAGACCACGGUGGUCUCUGCUGGUGGCAUGAAGGUCAUGGCCACCAUGUCCAAUGCUGCAAAGUCCAUCAUUAAAGUAGUUGUGGAGAACAAGGACAGCCCUCCCCCCUAUCCAGAGGCAAUUUCACCUCUGGUGGUCUCUGCUGGUGGCAUGAAGGUCAUGGCCACCAUGUCCAAUGCUGCAAAGUCCAUCAUUAAAGUAGUUGUGGAGAACAAGGACAGCCCUCCCCCCUAUCCAGAGGCAAUUUCACCUUUUCGCUUUAUGCACUGGGACCAAAAGAAAGGGAGAAGAUUCCAGAAGAAGUAAGGGGUGAAUGGUUCCCACUUCCUGUAGAUGCUUCCCCUCAAAAAAAAAAAAAAAUGCUGAAGUAGAGCAGCACUGUUGUUUUGUUUUCCUUCUUCCCUUUUCGUUCUUCCUUGUGCCUGGAAUAGCCAAUGGCGGCCAAGCCAGCAAAUCAUGACAAUAAAAAAAGCAUUGCAGAUAACA
Molecule: long non-coding RNA, 1266 nt
Filed under: Chrysolophus pictus (golden pheasant)
Lineage: Eukaryota; Metazoa; Chordata; Aves; Galliformes; Phasianidae
Description: lncRNA (ENSCPIG00010010709.1)
Source: RNAcentral